Molecule: unclassified non-coding RNA, 246 nt
Filed under: Paulownia witches'-broom phytoplasma
Lineage: Bacteria; Bacillati; Mycoplasmatota; Mollicutes; Acholeplasmatales; Acholeplasmataceae
Description: 16S-23S ribosomal RNA intergenic spacer
Rfam family: tRNA (bases 106-179)
Source: RNAcentral
CUAAGGAAACAAUUAUCAUCUUCAGUUUUGAGAGACUUAAGAAAGUUUUUCAUUUUAACUUGCUUGCAAAUUGUAUUUUCAACAUUUUAAUCUUUUUAAGAUUAAGGGCCUAUAGCUCAGUUGGUUAGAGCACAUGCCUGAUAAGCGUGAGGUCGGUGGUUCAAGUCCAUUUAGGCCCACCAUAACCACAAAUAAGGCAAAAUCUUAAAAAAGCUCUUUGAAAAGUAGAUAAACGAAGGUUAAAAA